This 470-nucleotide ribosomal RNA is filed under the name uncultured organism. RNAcentral describes it as "partial 16S ribosomal RNA". It matches the Rfam family "Bacterial small subunit ribosomal RNA", at positions 335 to 797 of the family's 1533-position model. The record is from RNAcentral.
ACUCCUACGGGAGGCAGCAGUGGGGAAUAUUGCACAAUGGGCGCAAGCCUGAUGCAGCCAUGCCGCGUGUAUGAAGAAGGCCUUCGGGUUGUAAAGUACUUUCAGCGGGGAGGAAGGCGAUAAGGUUAAUAACCUUGUUGAUUGACGUUACCCGCAGAAGAAGCACCGGCUAACUCCGUGCCAGCAGCCGCGGUAAUACGGAGGGUGCAAGCGUUAAUCGGAAUUACUGGGCGUAAAGCGCACGCAGGCGGUCUGUCAAGUCGGAUGUGAAAUCCCCGGGCUCAACCUGGGAACUGCAUUCGAAACGGGCAGGCUAGAGUCUUGGAGAGGGGGGUAGAAUUCCAGGUGUAGCGGUGAAAUGCGUAGAGAUCUGGAGGAAUACCGGUGGCGAAGGCGGCCCCCUGGACAAAGACUGACGCUCAGGUGCGAAAGCGUGGGGAGCAAACAGGAUUAGAUACCCCAGUAGUCCC